AUUGAAGAUGAAUGAAAUACCAAAAAGUGAAACUACGCCUGACAAUUAUUGAACAGUUGUUUUUGUAGAUAAGUAUUAGUGGUAUGGAAGUGACAAUAAAUUUAUUGUAUAAAUUACAUACGGGCAGAUCAUACAAAAAUGAUAACAAUGUAAUAAUUAACACGAACCCCAAAAAAACAAACAAAAAAAACCAACAAAAAACAACAACCUUACCGAAGACCGAGUUGUUCAUGAGUUUGAAGAAGUUCUUCUCGAAAGCAGUCUUGGCUUGUUAUCGCAUUUUGGUGUUGAACUCAACGUAGGGUUUCAUGAAAGCCUCUUGUUGGAACUCUAAUACUUUAUGUAUUUUUUUCAAUUUUAGACCGAGUUGGAGAUACAGUUGCAGGUAGUCCAAAUAAUUGUACGUUGACGGAUUUUUUUAGAUUUUUGAUAUGGCAAAUCCUUCACGUACAAAUUGUUUAGUAUCAAAAGUGGGUAGUUGUUCCGAUCAGGAUUCCGGGUUAAAGCAUAUAGCGUCUAUAAAAUAUCAUAAAAACAAGAAAUAUUACCAGAUAAUGUUAUUUUACAUAAUUUCCGUACACAAAAAAUAAAUAUCCAACUUAUAAUUAUGAGUUUGACGGCUUUUCUUCAUUUCAUUCUGUCAAAACAUAACGAUAUAUACAUGAAGGGCACCUGCAAGGCUUCAGGGCAGAGUUUUAAAUCGCUCGGAACAUUUCGGCCAUGGCCGAGUUGUUACGAUUGUAUAACGAGGUCUUUCUCGAAGCUUUGUCGGAGGAGGCCGAGUUCUUACGAUUGUAACGAGUUGUCCCCCUUCGCAUAAUUGUUGUCAGUGUCAGUCAACUUUCGUUUUGUUGGAAAGGUAAACAACUUGUUUUAAUGCAUGAAAUGCUUGUUUAGUGCAAAAUAACAUUUCACUUACAUGGUAAAAUAUGAAAAUAACUCUUUAUGAUCAAUUUCAACCAUAAAAUACUUCACUUAAGAGAAUUUCAAUAUUUUUAAAACACCCCCGUUUUUUGCACAUUCCCGUUUAGACGUUAGGGAUUGGAAGAAUCCCGUAUAACACGUCUAUUAUUUUAGACUACAGUUGCAGGUUGCGAUAGUGAAGUACAUAAUUAUGUUUGUUUUCUAAAGUGGUGAGUAAUUUUUCCACCUUUGCUCUGGGUGGAAGUUCCUCACUGUUGUGUAAAUGUUUCAACACAUGUUGAGCAUAAGGAGAUAAUUUUUCAUUGGGUGUGAAUUUACGUUCCGGAGCUAAUGGGUAGUCGUUAUGACUGUCAUGUAAAUGUUUUGGAUAUUCUAGAUCUACUUCUAGAAUAUACCCCUUAGAUCCAUCCUCUGGUUCAAAAGUAUCAAUUUCUUCCUUCUGUAAAAACUUAAAGAAUGUUACUAACUCGGAAACUCAAUAGUAAAUGAACUAGUUUGUCAAAUGUUUUGGUGGGAAAAUAUUCCACCAAAAUGUGAAUUUGGCGGGAAAAAAGUUCGCCAAACAUUUGAAUUUUAAACAUUUGAAUUUCAAAUACUAUAGGGAAUCCAUUUCAAUUUGUUAAUUAUCUUUGUUUUUCCCCUUUUGUUUUGUUUUGACUUUAUUUCUUUGAGAUUCUCAUUUUUUUUCUUAUUUUUUUUAGGUUUUUCAAAAAACUUGUUUAAACGUUUCACGACUAGUCUUUUCUGUAAAUUUCCGUCAUUUUGAAUUGAUUUUUUCUGUAACUUCCCGCCAUUUUGAGUCAACCUUUUCUGUGAGUUCUUACCGUUUUGUUGUAAUACCAUGUUAUUGUUUUUAAAAGGUUGACUGUUUUGUAAACUUCCAUCACAUUUAGAGAGUAAGUAUUCAUACUUUGAUUUAGGAAUUAACACUAAUUCUUGAGCCAUGAUUCACUGGGUUUAAUUAACGCUAAAAACUGUUUGAAAUAUUUUAACAGAAUGGCUUUCCUCCUUUUUUAAGAGAGUCUUUUGGAUAUUACUUUACGUAUGACAUGUCUAUAUCGUUUCAAGUUCUUUUUAUCCUUUUCUGGAAUGACAAGAUUUCCCCUGAUAGCAUUGUAAAUCACCUCUAUAAGUGCAGCCAAUUGAGAUUUUGUUAAGUUUUUUAUCAACAUUGUUUGUUGUUUUUCAUUGGUGUUGAUCAUAAAUUUUAAAAAAUGUCUCUCCUUCUGUAGUUUAUCUUCCAUUUUUCUCCUUUUCAGGUAGAAAUACAAUGGGGGUUUGAUAUGGAAAGAUGUCUGUACGAAGUUUAUAUAACGGGUUAGAAUGUGGACUUACAUCCACCAGAAGCUUGGGGAUGUCUCGCCAGAACUUAGACAGAAUGCUGGAGAACUACGAUACAACUUCACAUUAACAUCCACUUGGUUUAACAGAUCGAGAUAGUCCAUCGAAUUCUGACCACUGAUUUGAAACUCAAUGGGAGUAUCAUCCGACACUUGGGAUAUUGGACGAAUCUCUUGAUAAUGGACAUCAUUCACCGCAACUUGUGUAGGAGCUCACUUUUCGCCUGGUUUACUGUCUGUUCCGAUGGGGAAACUGUGCUGAUUGUCAUACCAUUACUUCCCAUCUUCGACUUGUGUGGAAUGGCAAAUCCCCUCCCAACUUGAGAUCAUCCGGGGAUAUCGCCAUAUUGAAAACCCGCCAGAGGUUCGGUCCACGUCCAUGGUGCUCGGGAUGAGUCAUUGGAGGACGAAGAUCGGGUGUCCUUAUGCUGCCAUACAAUGUCGUUUUUAUGAUGUCCAAUUAUGUUCAAAAAUAAACAACUUGGAGAAUG
Long non-coding RNA from Mya arenaria, 2755 nucleotides. RefSeq lists it as uncharacterized. The transcript has 5 exons. The record is from RefSeq and is a predicted model, not a curated record. Lineage: Eukaryota; Metazoa; Mollusca; Bivalvia; Myida; Myidae.